UGAACAAUAUGGAUAAGCUCCAGCAGGAAUUGGUAGUAUGGAUCAUCUUGAUCAACCAAAGGGCCAAUGAUGAAUGGCAAUAAUCGCAUAAACAUAUAAGUGCCAUUACUCACUUUUAUUAAUCACACCUAUUUGCUUAAAGACAAAGGAAUAUAAAUAUAUUUCUGAUACCUAUUUCUUAUUAACAAUGUUUAACCAAGUCUUUUAGUCAAAAAGCUCAAAUAUUAUAUUGUCGAUAUUGUUACUAUUAUACUGUCACUCAAAUAUUAUGCUGUUGAUAUUGUUAUAAAUUGUAUGGAAUUCUGAGAGCAUAAUGCACUGUGAGUAAAUUAUUCAACUAAUAAAGAGUAUGCAAUUCUGAAACAUUGUUUAUUGUUUAUAUAUCUACAGGGUGUUUUUUUUAAGCAAUUAAAGAAAAAACUGUAUAAUAUGAAGCCAGUAGAAAAGAAGCGUGGGGCAAGAGUAAAAAGGCAGCCAACGACACCCCAAAUACCCCAAGCUUCAAACAUCAUCAAACACGCACAAGUACUCCCAAGGCAACACCGGCAGUGCCUAUCAACAAUGAAGAAAUUGAGGAAGAAAUAUAGAUGAAAUUUGUGAAUCCAGUACAGAGUCAACAAACUCUAAAGCAAUAAUGAUACGGCAUUACUGAAUCAACAUACUCUAAAGCAAUAAUGAUACGGCAUUACAGUGCCUUAGCAAAGGAUAUGAACAAAGUGAAACGGUCCCCUGAGAUCAUAAAUAUGUACCUAAAUAAACACGCCGAAUUGGCCGAAAGCGCAUUUUGGACAUGGCCGCAGAAGAACGUCAUGCAUGGGAAAGUGUUUGAAACAUAUCCAUGUUUUAAAGACCUUGUUGAGAUUAUUGAAAAAGUGAGGAGAGUUAUUGGAGUGGAAGCAAAUGAAAACCGGGAACAAUUUAUGCAUGAAUUUGUUGAGAGAGUUGAUGAGGAAGUCGACAAUUUAAUUUAUUCUGGGGUCUCCAAGCAAAGAAUUGGACAUCCUUCGAAACGAAGUAAAGUUGCCAAAGCUAUACAUUAAUUUGAUGAAGAAUAUUCAUUUAAUAUUUGGACACUCAACAACAAAAACAAAACAAGGAAAGAGGGUGUCUUGUGAUUUGGUGUACAUGCACCAUAAAGCAUGAAGACCCUGAUGUUUUGUGCAAGAAGCAUUCAACAAAGGUACCAAUGCUAAUGGUG
Dendronephthya gigantea is the source of this 1198-nucleotide long non-coding RNA. RefSeq lists it as uncharacterized. NCBI's taxonomy places the organism in Eukaryota, Metazoa, Cnidaria, Anthozoa, Malacalcyonacea, Nephtheidae. The record is from RefSeq and is a predicted model, not a curated record. The transcript is spliced from 5 exons.